GAUGAACGCUGGCGGCGUGCCUAACACAUGCAAGUCGAACGGAGUCGUUUUGGAAAUCUCUUCGGAGAUGGAAUUCUCGACUUAGUGGCGGACGGGUGAGUAACGCGUGAGCAAUCUGCCUUUAAGAGGGGGAUAACAGUCGGAAACGGCUGCUAAUACCGCAUAAAGCAUUAAAUUCGCAUGUUUUUGAUGCCAAAGGAGCAAUCCGCUUUUAGAUGAGCUCGCGUCUGAUUAGCUAGUUGGCGGGGUAACGGCCCACCAAGGCGACGAUCAGUAGCCGGACUGAGAGGUUGAACGGCCACAUUGGGACUGAGACACGGCCCAGACUCCUACGGGAGGCAGCAGGGGGGAAUAUUGCGCAAGGGGGGAAACCCUGACGCAGCAACGCCGCGUGAUUGAAGAAGGCCUUCGGGUUGUAAAGAUCUUUAAUCAGGGACGAAACAAAUGACGGUACCUGAAGAAUAAGCUCCGGCUAACUACGUG
RNAcentral lists this ribosomal RNA (483 nucleotides) under uncultured bacterium. RNAcentral's name for it is "partial 16S ribosomal RNA". It matches the Rfam family "Bacterial small subunit ribosomal RNA", at positions 28 to 507 of the family's 1533-position model. The record is from RNAcentral.